This 502-nucleotide ribosomal RNA is filed under the name uncultured bacterium. RNAcentral describes it as "partial 16S ribosomal RNA". It matches the Rfam family "Bacterial small subunit ribosomal RNA", at positions 30 to 523 of the family's 1533-position model. The record is from RNAcentral.
AUUGAACGCUGGCGGCAGGCUUAACACAUGCAAGUCGAGCGGGGUGAUGGUGCUUGCACUAUCACUUAGCGGCGGACGGGUGAGUAAUGCUUAGGAAUCUGCCUAUUAGUGGGGGACAACAUCUCGAAAGGGAUGCUAAUACCGCAUACGUCCUACGGGAGAAAGCAGGGGAUCACUUGUGACCUUGCGCUAAUAGAUGAGCCUAAGUCGGAUUAGCUAGUUGGUGGGUAAAGGCCUACCAAGGCGACGAUCUGUAGCGGGUCUGAGAGGAUGAUCCGCCAAACUGGGACUGAGACACGGCCCAGACUCCUACGGGAGGCAGCAGUGGGGAAUAUUGGACAAUGGGGGGAACCCUGAUCCAGCCAUGCCGCGUGUGUGAAGAAGGCCUUAUGGUUGUAAAGCACUUUAAGCGAGGAGGAGGCUCUUUUGGUUAAUACCCAAGAUGAGUGGACGUUACUCGCAGAAUAAGCACCGGCUAACUCUGUGCCAGCCGCCGCUGUAA